Molecule: ribosomal RNA, 405 nt
Filed under: uncultured Bicosoecida
Lineage: Eukaryota; Bigyra; Bicosoecida
Description: partial small subunit ribosomal RNA
Rfam family: Eukaryotic small subunit ribosomal RNA
Source: RNAcentral
GCUUGUCUCAAAGAUUAAGCCAUGCAUGUCUAAGUAUAAAUAAAUCAUACUGUGAAACUGCGAAUGGCUCAUUAUAUCAGUUAUAGUUUAUUUGAUAGUCCCUUACUACUUGGAUAACCGUAGUAACUCUAGAGCUAAUACAUGCGCAAAUUCCCGACUGCCGCAAGGCGGAAAGGAUGUAUUUAUUAGAUCCAACCAGCCCGGUUCGCCGGAGUCCCUGGUGAGUCAUAAUAACUGUUCGAAUCGCAUGCUUCGGCAGGCGAUAGUUCAUUCAAAUUUCUGCCCUAUCAGCUUUCGACGGUAGUGUAGUGGACUACCGUGGCGUUAACGGGUAACGGAGAAUUAGGGUUCGAUUCCGGAGAGGGAGCCUGAGAAAUGGCUACCACAUCCAAGGAAGGCAGCAGG